This 465-nucleotide ribosomal RNA is filed under the name uncultured Rahnella sp. Its description in RNAcentral is "bacterial SSU rRNA". It matches the Rfam family "Bacterial small subunit ribosomal RNA", at positions 338 to 795 of the family's 1533-position model. Lineage: Bacteria; Pseudomonadati; Pseudomonadota; Gammaproteobacteria; Enterobacterales; Yersiniaceae. The record is from RNAcentral.
CCUACGGGUGGCAGCAGUGGGGAAUAUUGCACAAUGGGCGCAAGCCUGAUGCAGCCAUGCCGCGUGUGUGAAGAAGGCCUUAGGGUUGUAAAGCACUUUCAGCGAGGAGGAAGGCAUCACACUUAAUACGUGUGGUGAUUGACGUUACUCGCAGAAGAAGCACCGGCUAACUCCGUGCCAGCAGCCGCGGUAAUACGGAGGGUGCAAGCGUUAAUCGGAAUUACUGGGCGUAAAGCGCACGCAGGCGGGUUGUUAAGUCAGAGGUGGAAUCCUGACGCUUAACGUGAGAACUGCAUUUGAAACUGGGAAGCUUGAGUGCUGGAGAGGGGGGUAGAAUUCCGGGUGUAGAGGUGAAAUGCGUAGAGAUUCGGAAGAACACCGGUGGCGAAGGCGGCCCCCUGGCCCAAUACUGACGCUCAGGCGCGAAAGCGUGGGGAGCAAACAGGAUUAGAUACCCUUGUAGUC